RNAcentral lists this unclassified non-coding RNA (349 nucleotides) under soil metagenome. RNAcentral's name for it is "partial contains 5.8S ribosomal RNA, internal transcribed spacer 2, and large subunit ribosomal RNA". The stretch from base 1 to 120 matches the Rfam family "5.8S ribosomal RNA", at positions 35 to 154 of the family's 154-position model. The record is from RNAcentral.
GAUGAAGAACGCAGCGAAACGCGAUAAGUAAUGUGAAUUGCAGAAUUUAGUGAAUCAUCGAGUCUUUGAACGCACAUUGCGCCCCCUGGUAUUCCGGGGGGCAUGCCUGUCCGAGCGUCAUUGCUGCCCUCAAGCACGGCUUGUGUGUUGGGCCUCCGCCCCCCGGCUCCCGGGGGGCGGGCCCGAAAGGCAGCGGCGGCACCGCGUCCGGUCCUCGAGCGUAUGGGGCUUCGUCACCCGCUCCGUAGGCCCGGCCGGCGCCCGCCGGCGACCCCCCUCAAUCUUUCCAGGUUGACCUCGGAUCAGGUAGGGAUACCCGCUGAACUUAAGCAUAUCAAUAAGCGGAGGA